GAUGAAGAACGCAGCGAAAUGCGAUACGUAGUGUGAAUUGCAGAAAUACGUGAACCAUCGAAUCUUUGAACGCAAAUUGCGCUCGAGGCUUCGGCCAAGAGCAUGUCUGCCUCAGCGUCGCUUUAAACCCUCACACCAUACUCCCUUGUGGAGCAUGUUUGUGGAACUGGCUUUCCCAGCUUUCCUUAAACCGAAGGCUGGGUUUGCUGAAGAGCAGAGGUUGAUGCAUGGACCCGUUAUGGGCCUCAGCUGGGUAGGUAAUUUAUUACUAAUGCUUUAGCUGUUGGCUUGGAUCUGUGCUGUCGACCCUAACCAGGAAUUGAGAAAGCCUUACCGCUUUCUCAAACUCUUCUAAUUUCGACCUGAGCUCAGGCAAGAACACCCGCUGAACUUAAGCAUAUCAAUAAGCGGAGGA
Molecule: unclassified non-coding RNA, 415 nt
Filed under: soil metagenome
Description: partial contains 5.8S ribosomal RNA, internal transcribed spacer 2, and large subunit ribosomal RNA
Rfam family: 5.8S ribosomal RNA (bases 1-120)
Source: RNAcentral